UGGGGAAUUUUCCGCAAUGGGCGAAAGCCUGACGGAGCAAUACCGCGUGAGGGAUGACGGCCUAUGGGUUGUAAACCUCUUUUUUCAGGGAGGAACAAAAUGACGUGUACCUGAAGAAUAAGCAUCGGCUAACUCCGUGCCAGCAGCCGCGGUAAGACGGAGGAUGCAAGUGUUAUCCGGAAUCACUGGGCGUAAAGCGUCUGUAGGUGGUUUAAUAAGUCAACUGUUAAAUCUUGAGGCUCAACCUCGAAAUCGCAGUCGAAACUAUUAGACUAGAGUAUAGUAGGGGUAAAGGGAAUUUCCAGUGGAGCGGUGAAAUGCGUAGAGAUUGGAAAGAACACCGAUGGCGAAGGCACUUUACUGGGCUAUUACUAACACUCAGAGACGAAAGCUAGGGUAGCAAAUGGGAUUAGAUACCCCAGUAGUCCUAGCUGUAAACAAUGGAUACUAGAUGUUGGACAGAUCGACCUGUGCAGUAUCAAAGCUAACGCGUUAAGUAUCCCGCCUGGGAAGUAUGCUCGCAAGAGUG
RNAcentral lists this ribosomal RNA (529 nucleotides) under uncultured vent bacterium ML-2a. Its description in RNAcentral is "bacterial SSU rRNA". It matches the Rfam family "Bacterial small subunit ribosomal RNA", at positions 355 to 896 of the family's 1533-position model. RNAcentral also lists the same sequence under 2 other names. The record is from RNAcentral.